AACGCGAAGAACCUUACCGGGGCUUGACAUCGGAGGACAACCGUAGAAAUACGGCUUAGGAGCAAUCCUACUUCCAGACAGGUGCUGCAUGGCUGUCGUCAGCUCGUGCCGUGAGGUGUUGGGUUAAGUCCCGCAACGAGCGCAACCCUCGUCGUGUGUUGGUCCGCAAGGAUCUCUCACACGAGACCGCCGGUGAGAAGCCGGAGGAAGGUGGGGAUGACGUCAAGUCAGCAUGGCCCUUACGUCCCGGGCUACACACGUGCUACAAUGCGCCGAACAACGAGCUGCGAACUCGCGAGGGUAAGCAAAUCUCUUAAAUCGGCGCUCAGUUCGGAUUGAAGGCUGCAACUCGCCUUCAUGAAGUCGGAAUCGCUAGUAAACGCAGAUCAGCUACGCUGCGUUGAAUACGUUCCCGGGCCUUGUACACACCGACUGUAC
RNAcentral lists this ribosomal RNA (438 nucleotides) under uncultured bacterium. RNAcentral's name for it is "bacterial SSU rRNA". It matches the Rfam family "Bacterial small subunit ribosomal RNA", at positions 958 to 1399 of the family's 1533-position model. The record is from RNAcentral.